RNAcentral lists this ribosomal RNA (460 nucleotides) under uncultured bacterium. RNAcentral describes it as "partial 16S ribosomal RNA". It matches the Rfam family "Bacterial small subunit ribosomal RNA", at positions 338 to 795 of the family's 1533-position model. The record is from RNAcentral.
CCUACGGGUGGCUGCAGUGAGGAAUAUUGGUCAAUGGGCGGAAGCCUGAACCAGCCAAGUAGCGUGCAGGAUGACGGCCCUACGGGUUGUAAACUGCAUUUAUACGGGAGUAACGCGCCUUACGUAUAGGGCUUUGCAUGUACCGUAUGAAUAAGGACCGGCUAAGUCCGUACCAGCAGCCGCGGUAAUACGGAAGGUCCGGGCGUUAUCCGGAUUUAUUGGGUUUAAAGGGAGCGUAGGACGCACGCCAAGCGUGAUGUGAAAUGUCCGGGCUCAACCCGGGCCUUGCAGCGCAAACUGGCGUGCUGGAGUGCGCGGAAGGCAGGCGGAAGUCGUCGUGUAGCGGUGAAAUGCUUAGAUAUGACGAAGAACCCCGAUUGCGAAGGCAGCUUGCUGCAGCGGAACUGACGCUGAUGCUCGAAAGCGCGGGUAUCGAACAGGAUUAGAUACCCUUGUAGUC